This is a long non-coding RNA of Branchiostoma belcheri (Belcher's lancelet), 389 nucleotides long. RefSeq lists it as uncharacterized. NCBI's taxonomy places the organism in Eukaryota, Metazoa, Chordata, Leptocardii, Amphioxiformes, Branchiostomatidae. The transcript has 3 exons. The record is from RefSeq and is a predicted model, not a curated record.
AGGAACAUUUUACAACACCUGCAGAAGGCAUAUCUAGGUGUGCAGCACAGGUGAGUGUCUGCUUCCUUCGUCUCGGGAGUUUUAUCCCAACGAACUACAUUGAAAGAGACAUGUCAUCAACACCGGGCAGCCCCAAGCAGCUCCCCCGGGGCAGGUCGACUCACGGCCCGACUAAAACUGCCUGGACGACCCGGUGCGACCACCUGCAGCCUCGGGAUGAUUUAACCAGGCGGACCCAGUGCGGACGGCAAGAGCCAAAACACAAGACUAUUGACACAAUACCGGCAGAGGACAUCGGUCAAGUUCCGAUCAGGAGCACACGUGCUGACCGGUCCUUUAUGUGGCGAGACUUCAAAAUACCAGAGGACAGCCAGGAAGUCAACUUGAAG